Molecule: small nuclear RNA, 106 nt
Organism: Myotis lucifugus (little brown bat)
Lineage: Eukaryota; Metazoa; Chordata; Mammalia; Chiroptera; Vespertilionidae
Source: Ensembl
AAAAGUUUUCAGCCAUUGCUUUUUAAAAUUUGGAACGAUACAGAGAAGAUUAGCAUGGCCCCUGUGCAAGGAUGACAUGCAAAUUCGUGACGUGUUCCAUAUUAAA